Molecule: long non-coding RNA, 400 nt
Filed under: Androctonus crassicauda
Lineage: Eukaryota; Metazoa; Arthropoda; Arachnida; Scorpiones; Buthidae
Source: RNAcentral
AGCCUUGGUGGAUGGGGCAGUUGUUGUUCUAGCUUUUGCUGUGUCCUUUUUGUGUUCUCCUAGGCCCUGCCCGAGUGUCCUUGUAGUGACCCCUAUGUGGGAUGUUGACUGGUUGUUGCGAUGGUCAGUGACAGGUGUGGUGUGGAUGCCUGCUCGUUCUGGCCUGUCCCUUGGUUCUUUUUCGUUCCGUAUGGUGUUGGAGUGUGGGGGCCCUCUUAACAGCUAUCCUUCUGCCAAUCUUUUUGACUGGUCUUCUUGUAGACAGCAUAUUAGAGUAGGAGUGGGGUGCUGGAGGAGGGAGUGGAUGUUGGUCCGGUCGAGGUUCCUGUGGUGCUUGAUCGUGUGGUUUCCAUUUCGCAUCUUCGUGUACUCGCCUUAAAAAGCUUCUGGUAUAUCCAUG